This 273-nucleotide ribosomal RNA is filed under the name uncultured bacterium. RNAcentral's name for it is "partial 16S ribosomal RNA". It matches the Rfam family "Bacterial small subunit ribosomal RNA", at positions 524 to 796 of the family's 1533-position model. The record is from RNAcentral.
UACGGAGGGGGCGAGCGUUAUUCGGAAUUAUUGGGCGUAAAGGGCGCGUAGGCGGCCUGGCAAGUCAAAGGUGAAAUCCCUCGGCUCAACCGAGGAAUGGCCUUUGAAACUGCCUGGCUAGAGGCCGGGAGGGGGUAGCGGAAUUCCCAGUGUAGCGGUGAAAUGCGUAGAUACUGGGAGGAACACCAGUGGCGAAGGCGGCUACCUGGACCGGUUCUGACGCUGAUGCGCGAAAGCGUGGGGAGCAAACAGGAUUAGAUACCCCCGUAGUCC